UUUAAUUAAGUCCCAUUUAUUUAUUUUUGUUUUUAUUGUCCUUACUCUAAGAGGUGAAUCUGAGAAGAUAUUGCUGUGGUUUAUGUCAUAGAGUGUUUGGCCUAUGUUUUCCUCUAAGAGUUUUAUAUGUCUGGUCUUAUAUCUAGGUCUUUAAUCCAUUUGGAGUUUAUUUUUGUGUAUGGUGUUAGGGAAUGUUCUAAUUUCCUUCUUUUCCAUGUGGCUGUCCAGUUUUCCCAGCACUACUUAUUGAACAAGCUGUCCUUUCUUCAUUGUAUAUUCUUGCCUCCUUUGUCAUAGAUUAGUUGGCUGUAGGUACGUGGGUUUAAUUCUGGGCUUUCUAUCCUGUUCCACUGAUCUAUAUGUCUGUCUUUGUGCCAGUACCAUGCAGUUUUGAUGACUGUUGCUUUGUAGUAUAGUCUGAAGUCCGGGAGCCUGAUUUCUCCAGCUCCAUUUUUCUUUUUCAGGAUGUCUUUGGCUAUUCUGGGUCUUUUGUACUUCCAAGCAAAGUUUAAAAUAUUUUGUUCAAGUUCUGUGAAAACUGUCCAUGGUAAUUUGAUAGGGAUUGCAUUGAAUCUGUAGAUUGCCUUGGGUAUAUAGUCAUUUUGAUAAUAUUGACUCUUCCAAUCCAAGAGCAUGGUAUGUCUUUCCAUCUGUUUGUGUCAUCACUGAUUUCUUUCAUCAGUGUCUUGUAGUUUUCAGAGAACAGGUCUUUUGUCUCUUUAGGUAGGUUUACUCCUAAAUAUUUUAUUCUUUUGGAUGUAAUGGUAAAUGGGAUUGCUUCCCUAAUUUCUCUGUCUGAUCUUUCAUUGUUAGUAUGUAGAAAUGCCAUUGAUUUCUGUGUAUUAAUUUUGUAUCCUGCAACUUUGCCAAAUUCAUUGAUGAGCUCUAACAGUUUUCUGGUAGAGUCUUUAGGAUUCUCUAGGUAUAGUAUGUCAUCUGCAAAUAGUGAUAGUUUUACUUCUUCCUUUCCAAUUUGGAUUCUUUUAUCUCUUUUACUUCUCUGAUUGCUGUGGCUAGGACUUCCAAAACUAUGUUGAAGAGUAGUGGCAAGAGUGGACAUCCUUGUCUUAUUCUUGGUCUCAGUGGGAAUUCUUUCAGGUUUUCACCAUUGAGAAUGAUGUUCACUAUGGGUUUGUCAUAUUUGGUCUUUAUUAUGUUGAGGUAAUUUCCCUCUAUGCCCACUUUCUGAAGGGUUUUUAUCAGAAAUGGGUGUUGGAUUUUGUCAAAGGCUUUUUCUGCAUCUAUGGAGAGGAUCACAUGGUUUUUAUUCUUUAGUUUGUUCAUGUGGUAUAUCACACUGAUUGAUUUGUGGAUAUUGAAGAAUCCUUGCAUCCCUGGGAUAAAUCCCAGAAUACAAUCCUUCUAAUGUAUUGUUGGAUGUGGUUUGCUAGUAUUUUGUUGAGGAUUUUUGCAUCAAUGUUCAUCAGUGAUAUUGGCCUGUAAUUUUCUUUUUUUGUGGAAUCUUUGUCUGGUUUUGGUAUCAGGGUGAUGACGGCCUCAUAGGAGGAGUUUGGGAGUAUCCCUUCCUCUGCAAUUGUUUGAAAUAGUUUCAGAAGGAUAGGUAUUAGCUCUUCUCUAAAUGUUUGAUAGAAUUCGCCUGUGAAGCCAUCUGGUCCUGGACUUUGUUGGAAGUUUUUUAAUCACAGUUUCAAUUUCAGUUCUUGUGAUUGGUCUGUUCAUCUUUUCUAUUUCAUCUUGGUUUAGUCUUGGGAGAUUGUACCUUUCUAAGAAUUUGUCCAUUUCUUCUAGGUUUUCCAUUUUAUUGGCAUAUAGUUGCAUAUAGUAGUCUCAUGAUCCAUGUAUUUCUGUGAUGUUCGUUGUUACUUCUCCUUUUUCAUUUCUAAUUUUAUUGAUUUAAGUCCUCUCUCUGUUUUUUUUUGAGAAAUCUGGUUAAGGGUUUAUCAAUUUUGUUGAACUUUUCAAAGAACCAGCUUUUUGUUUCAUUGAUCUUUUCUGUGGUUUUCUUCAUUUCUAUUUCAUUGAUUUCUGCUCUGUUCUUUAUGAUUUCUUUCCUUCUACUAACUUUAGGUCUUGUCUGUUCUCUCUCUAGGUGCUUUAGAUAUAGAGUUCGCUUGUUUAUUUGAGCUUUUCCUUGUUUCCUGAGGUGGGCUUGUAUUGCUAUGAACUUUCCUCUUAGAACGGCUUUUGCUGCUUCCCAUAGGUUUUGGAGUGUCGUAUCUUCAUUGUCAUUUGCUGCUAGGUAUUUUUUAAUUUCCUCUUUGAUUUAUUCAGUGAUCCAUUGGUUGUUUAGUAGCAUGUUGUUGAGACUCCAUGUGUUUGUGUUUUUUGCAGUUUUUUUCUUCUUGUUGAUUUCCAGUCAUAUAGCAUUGUGGUCAGAAAACAUGCUUGAUAUGAUUUCAAUUUUCUUAAAGUUACUGAGGUUGGAGUUGUAGCCCAGGAUGUGAUAAAUCUUAGAGAAUGUUCAAUGUGCACUUGAGAAGAAUGUGUGUUCUGUUGCUUUUGGAUGGAAUGU
RNAcentral lists this long non-coding RNA (2473 nucleotides) under Sus scrofa (pig). RNAcentral's name for it is "lncRNA (ENSSSCG00040045051.1)". Lineage: Eukaryota; Metazoa; Chordata; Mammalia; Artiodactyla; Suidae. The record is from RNAcentral.